CUUUGCUCUUUGUAAAAUAUUAAAUAUUCAAUUUUAUUGUAGCAUUUGUGAUCGAUGGUUUCCACGCAGAUGUUUCAUGCCCCCAGACGGGCUCAUGUGUUGUGGUCCAAAGGUUUAGGAGGUCUUCUCUGGUUCUGGGUGCUCUGGAGAUUGAAACACGACUAUCACGACAUCAUAGUAAGUAUUGGAAUUCUUCCUUAUUGUGGAAAUAAGUUAGUUAAUUGGUUAAGCGAAUAAUGUAAUAUGACUUGGUUGAAAACUUUCUCAGACCAGUCUGUACGCUUCUGAAUGGACCUAUUACCUAAUGAACAAAAUUUUGAUCUAGACAAGUAUAGACAAAAAUUUCAUCACGGCUUGAAAGAGCAUCACAAAAUUAGUAAUAUUCCGAAGUUUCGUUGCGAAAUGUUGUAAAAUGCGGAUAAUAUAGCCCUGCGAAAUUUGCCGUUUUUCAGUCAUUUUGUAUUACGCACGGGAAAUUGGUACCUCUUUCUGAAGAAAAGUACCAGUUGGCCGGCACAAAUUUUCCGUCGGAAAAAAAUUUUGAAGUUGAAAAUUUUCAACUUUUUAACAAUGAUAUUUUGGGAAAAUUUUCUGUCCGUAGAAAUUUUUCUUGAGUGGCAAUGGGCCUUUAGCCUGAGAAUGGAAAAGAAAUCAGCAUGCUUUCUGGUCCAGUUCAGGUACCGAUGCGGUUUUGGUACCGAUGCAGUACAAUUUCAAAUUUUGCCUUUCUCUAGGGUCAUCAUCAUGCUCUAGGACCAAUUGAAUUACCACCAGAGGAAGAUGAUUGAAGAUUUAAAGAAAGAACAUUGUUGCCAAGCAGUGGUUUUAUUUAUUGUUCUUUUUUGAAAAUUUGUCAAACUCUAAAUGUUGAAAUAUUUGCACGUAUAGUGAAAGUGAAAUAUGAUUUAUAGAACUCUUGUUUGUUUCAAAUACUAUACUAAAUGAUAAACUGCUGUAUGUCGAUGUUUCCAAACUAAACUAACUUUAUUUAUACUGGA
This is a non-coding RNA of Paramuricea clavata, 998 nucleotides long. Lineage: Eukaryota; Metazoa; Cnidaria; Anthozoa; Malacalcyonacea; Plexauridae. The record is from the annotation of a GenBank genome assembly.